RNAcentral lists this ribosomal RNA (414 nucleotides) under Triticum aestivum (bread wheat). RNAcentral's name for it is "partial small subunit ribosomal RNA". Lineage: Eukaryota; Viridiplantae; Streptophyta; Magnoliopsida; Poales; Poaceae. The record is from RNAcentral.
AUGAAGCUGUCUUCUUCCUCCUCGCUUACACGCACCAUGGUAAUCCUGGCCAUCGUAUGCUGCCGUUGCUCCGUGCUGGUGCCUAGCUCUGCCGCCGACAAAGUUGGAGACGAGACUAUGGAGGGGCGGCGGCUAGGGGCCCGCAAACCAAAGUUGCCUCCUCCGAUGCUCACGGGUAACAAGCAGAUCCAUAUGGCGCCUCCAUACGAAGUUGGUCAGCAGCCUGGAAAGGGGGGAGGGCCACGAGAUGUCCAUGGAGGAUUAGGGACUAUGCCGCAGCUGGGGCUGGCAGUUGGUCAGCAGCCUGGAAAGAAGGGAGGGCCACGAGAUCAUGGAGGAUUGGGGACUAUGCCGCCGCUGGGGCUGGGGGUAUAUGGCGCGGUUGCAAAUCACAUGACCGCAGCGCGUCCAUAA